UCUGGUCGGAGUUUCGAUGGCAUGGCUAAGGUCAAGUUCCAUAAACCCUAAAAGAUUAACGUCGAUUCCGGUUAUCAAGUGUCACAUCGAGUCUCAACAGCAUUAUCAUACCCGUCGUCUCAAGUCAGGGACGAAACCCAGCAGCCAUGAACGAACCCAUAAGCGCACAAGGAAGCCAUGGGAAGAGCUACCGUUUCUCACCGAUCUCAAAGAAAUCGAAGACCCAGAGGAAGCCCUCUCUCUGUUCCACCAUUACCAGCAGAUGGGUUUCCGACACGACUACCCAUCUUACUCUUCGCUCAUCUACAAGCUUGCCCGGUCUCGCCUAUUCGACGGUGUCGACCAUGUUCUCAGGCUGAUCCGAGAUCGUAAUGUUCGGUGCAGGGAGUCCCUCUUCAUGGCGUUGAUUCAGCAUUACGGAAAAGCUGGAUUGGUGGAUAAGGCUGUUGAGAUUUUCAAUACCAUGGUCUCGUUUAAUUGUGUCCGUACGAAGCAGUCUCUGAACACCCUCGUCAACGUCUUGGUCGAUAAUGGAGAGUUGGACAGAGCGAAAAGCCUCCUCGAGGGAUCGUACGAAUUGGGUUUGCGUCCGAAUUCGGUUUCGUUCAAUAUAAUGAUCAAAGGAUCGCUCGAAAAUGGCAAUUGGGAAGGUGCCUGCAAGGUGUUCGACGAUAUGCUUGAGAAGAAAGUGCUUCCAACGGUUGUGACGUACAAUAGCCUGAUAGGGUUCUUAUGCCGAAAUGAUGAUAUGGGGAAGGCAAAGAGCUUGCUUGAGGAUAUGAUUCGGAAGAGAAUACGCCCAAAUGCGGUCACAUUUGCUCUGUUAAUGGAAGGUUUAUGCUCUAAACGGGAGUAUGAUGAGGCAAAGAAGAUGAUGUUUGAUAUGGAUUAUCGCGGAUGUAAGCCAGGUCUUGUUAACUAUGGAGUUUUGAUGAAUGAUCUCGGAAAGAGAGGGAAAAUCGACGAUGCAAAGCAUUUACUUGGUGAGAUGAAGAAGAGGCGGAUAAAACCAGAUGUUGCAAUCUACAACAUACUGGUGAAUCAUCUCUGUAGAGAAGGUAGAGCUUCCGAAGCUUACAGAACGCUGACCGAUAUGCAAAUCAAAGGUUGUAAGCCAAAUGCAGCUACAUACCGGAUGAUGGUUGAUGGGUUCUGCCAUGUCGGGGAUUUCGAUUCAGGGUUGAAGGUUUUGAGCGCAAUGCUUGUGAGUAGACAGUCACCUCGACCUGAAACAUUUGUUCGUAUGAUUUCCGGGCUGUUAAAAGACGGGAAUGUGGAUGGCGCUUGCUUUGCUUUAGAGGAAAUGGGGAAGAGAGGCAUGAUCUCUGGUUCUGGUCUUUGGGAAAAUCUGAUCAGGGAAGUCGAGGUUGAGGAGGGAGUUGGAGGCGCUUGCCAUGAGCUAUUCACAGAGAUAAUCUCCAUCAAGCAGUGACCUUUUCAAGGGGAAAUUAGCACAGAGUUGUUUUGAUGAAUGGAGGGAAUUGAAAUGUUUAAGCUUUUGCUUAGGAUUUAAUCAUUAUGGCAGGUGAAUUUCAUGAAUAGUUCCAUUUAAGAUCCUGAGGCCACAAGUUACUCACCUUCCUGGUUUUAGCUCUCACCAUCAGUUUCACAUCCGCUGCGCGGCUACUCGAUGAAGGAGAUGCACCUGCAGCC
This is an RNA transcript of Tarenaya hassleriana, 1653 nucleotides long. It is a transcript of the gene named pentatricopeptide repeat-containing protein At1g07740, mitochondrial, with no coding region annotated. Lineage: Eukaryota; Viridiplantae; Streptophyta; Magnoliopsida; Brassicales; Cleomaceae. The record is from RefSeq and is a predicted model, not a curated record. The transcript has 3 exons.